GACUGACCGAUAGUGAACCAGUACCGUGAGGGAAAGGCGAAAAGAACCCCGGCGAGGGGAGUGAAAAAGAACCUGAAACCGUGUACGUACAAGCAGUGGGAGCCUCUUUAUGGGGUGACUGCGUACCUUUUGUAUAAUGGGUCAGCGACUUAUAUUCUGUAGCAAGGUUAACCGUAUAGGGGAGCCGAAGGGAAACCGAGUCUUAACUGGGCGUUAAGUUGCAGGGUAUAGACCCGAAACCCGGUGAUCUAGCCAUGGGCAGGUUGAAGGUUGGGUAACACUAACUGGAGGACCGAACCGACUAAUGUUGAAAAAUUAGCGGAUGACCUGUGGCUGGGGGUGAAAGGCCAAUCAAACCGGGAGAUAGCUGGUUCUCCCCGAAAGCUAUUUAGGUAGCGCCUCGUGAACUCAUCUUCGGGGGUAGAGCACUGUUUCGGCUAGGGGGCCAUCCCGGCUUACCAACCCGAUGCAAACUACGAAUACCGAAGAAUGUUAUCACGGGAGACACACGGCGGGUGCUAACGUCCGUCGUGAAGAGGGAAACAACCCAGACCGCCAGCUAAGGUCCCAAAGUCAUGGUUAAGUGGGAAACGAUGUGGGAAGGCACAGACAGCCAGGAUGUUGGCUUAGAAGCAGCCAUCAUUUAAAGAAAGCGUAAUAGCUCACUGGUCGAGUCGGCCUGCGCGGAAGAUGUAACGGGGCUAAACCAUGCACCGAAGCUGCGUUCUGUAAGCCGUUGAAGGUGUGCUGUGAGGCAUGCUGGAGGUAUCAGAAGUGCGAAUGCUGACAUAAGUAACGAUAAAGCGGGUGAAAAGCCCGCUCGCCGGAAGACCAAGGGUUCCUGUCCAACGUUAAUCGGGGCAGGGUGAGUCGACCCCUAAGGCGAGGCCGAAAGGCGUAGUCGAUGGGAAACAGGUUAAUAUUCCUGUACUUGGUGUUACUGCGAAGGGGGGACGGAGAAGGCUAUGUCAGCCGGGCGACGGUUGUCCCGGUUUAAGCAUGUUGUUACUGCGAAGGGGGGACGGAGAAGGCUAUGUCAGCCGGGCGACGGUUGUCCCGGUUUAAGCAUGUAGGCGGAGGGUCCAGGUAAAUCCGGUACCUUAUUAACGCUGAGGUGUGAUGACGAGGCACUACGGUGCUGAAGUGAUAAAUGCCCUGUUUCCAGGAAAAGCCUCUAAGCAUCAGAGGUGUGAUGACGAGGCACUACGGUGCUGAAGUGAUAAAUGCCCUGCUUCCAGGAAAAGCCUCUAAGCAUCAGGUAACACGAAAUCGUACCCCAAACCGCCACAGGUGGUCAGGUAGAGAAUACCAAGGCGCUUGAGAGAACUCGGGUGAAGGAACUAGGCAAAAUGGUGCCGUAACUGCGGGAGAAGGCACGCUGAUGUGUAGGUGAAGCCCCUGUAGGUGAAGCCCCUGCGGGCGGAGCUGAAAUCAGUCGAAGAUACCAGCUGGCUGCAACUGUUUAUUAAAAACACAGCACUGUGCAAACACGAAAGUGGACGUAUACGGUGUGACGCCUGCCCGGUGCCGGAAGGUUAAUUGAUGGGGUUAGCGGCAACGCGAAGCUCUUGAUCGAAGCCCCGGUAAACGGCGGCCGUAACUAUAACGGUCCUAAGGUAGCGAAAUUCCUUGUCGGGUAAGUUCCGACCUGCACGAAUGGCGUAAUGAUGGCCAGGCUGUCUCCACCCGAGACUCAGUGAAAUUGAACUCGCUGUGAAGAUGCAGUGUACCCGCGGCAAGACGGAAAGACCCCGUGAACCUUUACUAUAGCUUGACACUGAACACUGGUCCUUGAUGUGUAGGAUAGGUGGGAGGCUUUGAAGCGUGGACGCCAGUCUGCGUGGAGCCNNNNNNNNNNNNNNNNNNNNNNNNNNNNNNNNNNNNNNNNNNNNNNNNNNNNNNNNNNNNNNNNNNNNNNNNNNNNNNNNNNNNNNNNNNNNNNNNNNNNNNNNNNNNNNNNNNNNNGAGCGUGACGGCGCGAGCAGGUGCGAAAGCAGGUCAUAGUGAUCCGGUGGUUCUGAAUGGAAGGGCCAUCGCUCAACGGAUAAAAGGUACUCCGGGGAUAACAGGCUGAUACCGCCCAAGAGUUCAUAUCGACGGCGGUGUUUGGCACCUCGAUGUCGGCUCAUCACAUCCUGGGGCUGAAGUAGGUCCCAAGGGUAUGGCUGUUCGCCAUUUAAAGUGGUACGCGAGCUGGGUUUAGAACGUCGUGAGACAGUUCGGUCCCUAUCUGCCGUGGGCGCUGGAGAAUUGAGGGGGGCUGCUCCUAGUACGAGAGGACCGGAGUGGACGCAUCACUGGUGUUCGGGUUGUCAUGCCAAUGGCACUGCCCGGUAGCUAAAUGCGAGUGCUGAAAGCAUCUAAGCACGAAACUUGCCCCGAGAUGAGUUCUCCCUGAGACUUUAAGUCUCCUGAAGGAACGUUGAAGACGACGACGUUGAUAGGCCGGGUGUGUAAGCGCAGCGAUGCGUUGAGCUAACCGGUACUAAUGAACCGUGAGGCUUAACCUU
This 2510-nucleotide ribosomal RNA is filed under the name Enterobacter hormaechei. RNAcentral describes it as "partial 23S ribosomal RNA". It matches the Rfam family "Bacterial large subunit ribosomal RNA", at positions 478 to 2925 of the family's 2925-position model. The record is from RNAcentral. Lineage: Bacteria; Pseudomonadati; Pseudomonadota; Gammaproteobacteria; Enterobacterales; Enterobacteriaceae.